RNAcentral lists this ribosomal RNA (429 nucleotides) under Bacteroidota bacterium. RNAcentral describes it as "Bacteroidetes bacterium partial 16S ribosomal RNA". It matches the Rfam family "Bacterial small subunit ribosomal RNA", at positions 355 to 776 of the family's 1533-position model. The record is from RNAcentral. Lineage: Bacteria; Pseudomonadati; Bacteroidota.
UAGGGAAUCUUCCGCAAUGGACGCAAGUCUGACGGAGCAACGCCGCGUGAGUGAAGAAGGAUUUCGGUUCGUAAAACUCUGUUGUUAGAGAAGAACAGCGCAUAGAGUAACUGUUAUGCGUGUGACGGUAUCUAACCAGAAAGCCACGGCUAACUACGUGCCAGCAGCCGCGGUAAUACGUAGGUGGCAAGCGUUGUCCGGAUUUAUUGGGCGUAAAGCGAGCGCAGGCGGUCAAUUAAGUCUGAUGUGAAAGCCCCCGGCUCAACCGGGGAGGGUCAUUGGAAACUGGUUGACUUGAGUGCAGAAGAGGAGGGUGGAAUUCCAUGUGUAGCGGUGAAAUGCGUAGAUAUAUGGAGGAACACCAGUGGCGAAGGCGACUCUCUGGACUGUAACUGACGCUGAGGUUCGAAAGCGUGGGUAGCAAACAGG